AUACGUAGGGGGCGAGCGUUGUCCGGAUUUAUUGGGCGUAAAGGGCGUGUAGGCGGCCAAGCAAGUCAGGGGUGAAAACCUGGGGCUCAACCCCGGGCCUGCCUCUGAAACUGGUUGGCUUGAGUGCUCUAGAGGGCAGUGGAAUUCCCGGUGUAGCAGUGAAAUGCGUAGAGAUCGGGAGGAACACCAGUGGCGAAGGCGGCUGCCUGGGGAGUAACUGACGCUGAGGCGCGAAAGCUGGGGGAGCAAACAGGAUUAGAUACCCUGGUAGUCCCAGCCGUAAACGAUGAGUGCUAGGUGUGAGGGGUAUCGACCCCCCUCGUGCCGGAGUUAACGCAAUAAGCACUCCGCCUGGGGAGUACGGCCGCAAGGUUGAA
This 377-nucleotide ribosomal RNA is filed under the name uncultured bacterium. Its description in RNAcentral is "bacterial SSU rRNA". It matches the Rfam family "Bacterial small subunit ribosomal RNA", at positions 523 to 898 of the family's 1533-position model. The record is from RNAcentral.